Molecule: long non-coding RNA, 760 nt
Organism: Ornithodoros turicata
Lineage: Eukaryota; Metazoa; Arthropoda; Arachnida; Ixodida; Argasidae
Exons: 2
Source: RefSeq, a predicted model, not a curated record
CUGUCUGCCUGAAGGGCCGCGCAUGCUAGUGUACAGACGUUUCUGUGGUCGUCUGUAAUUGUAAACGAAUGUCGUAUGUUUCAGAAUCAUGCACACACUUCAACACACAAAUAUUGUUACAACUUGUCUGAUUAAUUAUUCUCCUUUGUAUACGUACGCAUCUCUCUGAUGAACGGCACCUGCACACAACAACUGAGGCCUAGGAGGUGCGCAUAGCAAGUCCGCAAAAAUAUAGUCUUUUAAAAUAUUUUCACAAUAAUUGGCAGUUUUCCAGCGAUUUUAAGAGCUUCGAGAUGCCGCGUGUUUUUUGAGCCCAAGUCGCUAGAUUAGUCGCUAGGCACUCGACACGUAUAUUUGGUCGCUGACCAGCUCUGAAAGUCGCUAGAACGGCAACAUGAAGAACGCAAGUGACAUUCCAAAAGACGAUCACAGACUAUAGACUGUUCUCGACCUGUACAUGCCGUCCCACUUGUGCACCAGUCGCCAAAGGCCCUCUGGCCGCUCCAUGGUUGGACGUCUUAGCGCCAAAGGGUUCUCAGUGAUGUUACUUGUCUGAGGCUGCGUUAUCUUUGAUUUCGAGAGAGGUGAAGAAUGGCACUAUGGUUUCGGAAGCGGCUGGUACAGCACUUUAGAGGCUGACAAAAUAAUCCGUAACAAACUUUGUAUCAUCUAGCCAUUGGUCACUCUGGUGCCUUCUUUGGUGAAGUUCCUUACUCAUACCUAGAGUGCAUUGUGCGGAAUAAAUGUUUCAUUUUGCUGG